UGGGGAAUAUUGCACAAUGGGAGCAAGCCUGAUGCAGCCAUGCCGCGUGUAUGAAGAAGGCCUUCGGGUUGUAAAGUACUUUCAGCGGGGAGGAAGGGAGUAAAGUUAAUACCUUUGCUCAUUGACGUUACCCGCAGAAGAAGCACCGGCUAACUCCGUGCCAGCAGCCGCGGUAAUACGGAGGGUGCAAGCGUUAAUCGGAAUUACUGGGCGUAAAGCGCACGCAGGCGGUUUGUUAAGUCAGAUGUGAAAUCCCCGGGCUCAACCUGGGAACUGCAUCUGAUACUGGCAAGCUUGAGUCUCGUAGAGGGGGGUAGAAUUCCAGGUGUAGCGGUGAAAUGCGUAGAGAUCUGGAGGAAUACCGGUGGCGAAGGCGGCCCCCUGGACGAAGACUGACGCUCAGGUGCGAAAGCGUGGGGAGCAAACAGG
This 429-nucleotide ribosomal RNA is filed under the name Fusobacteriota bacterium. Its description in RNAcentral is "Fusobacteria bacterium partial 16S ribosomal RNA". It matches the Rfam family "Bacterial small subunit ribosomal RNA", at positions 355 to 776 of the family's 1533-position model. Lineage: Bacteria; Fusobacteriati; Fusobacteriota. The record is from RNAcentral.